AUUGAACGCUGGCGGCAGGCCUAACACAUGCAAGUCGAACGGUAACAGGAAGAAGCUUGCUUCUUUGCUGACGAGUGGCGGACGGGUGAGUAAUGUCUGGGAAACUGCCUGAUGGAGGGGGAUAACUACUGGAAACGGUAGCUAAUACCGCAUAACGUCGCAAGACCAAAGAGGGGGACCUUCGGGCCUCUUGCCAUCGGAUGUGCCCAGAUGGGAUUAGCUAGUAGGUGGGGUAACGGCUCACCUAGGCGACGAUCCCUAGCUAGUCUGAGAGGAUGACCAGCCACACUGGAACUGAGACACGGUCCAGACUCCUACGGGAGGCAGCAGUGGGGAAUAUUGCACAAUGGGCGCAAGCCUGAUGCAGCCAUGCCGCGUGUAUGAAGAAGGCCUUCGGGUUGUAAAGUACUUUCAGCGGGGAGGAAGGGAGUAAAGUUAAUACCUUUGCUCAUUGACGUUACCCGCAGAAGAAGCACCGGCUAACUCCGUG
This 490-nucleotide ribosomal RNA is filed under the name uncultured bacterium. RNAcentral's name for it is "partial 16S ribosomal RNA". It matches the Rfam family "Bacterial small subunit ribosomal RNA", at positions 30 to 507 of the family's 1533-position model. The record is from RNAcentral.